CACCGAGAGAGCUAAUUCAACGAGCAGUCUCUCUAUGGCUCCUCCGAGACGACCCGGUGACGUCAAGGUCUGCGUGUUCGAAGUUCGAAAUCCCCGUCACCCUAAAAAUCUAUCGUCACGUGCAUCAGCGAAACUUCUCCCUCGGUCCAUGCAAAUGAAAGCUCCUCUCUAUGUGAAGAGUACUCGUGUCACGAGAAGGCGAAUUGAUGAAAUCAGAAAUGCAGAUCAUGAUCACACAAUUGGGAUUAACGGUGUGGUCUGCGGAACACGGUUCCCUGAAAUCGAGGGGAAAGGCGCUCUUUUAUGGACUAAAAUUAGUGAAAGUAUAAGAUGACGCCAAAAGCAAGCUAUUGAAGAUCCUCUGUCCAGAAGAUCCUCCGACAUAAAAAUUACGUCGGUCCCACGGCCGGUCGUUUUCUCACGUUUCCCCGGUCAUUCGCGCGAAACUCGUCAUCGAACGUUUAAUCUCCUGCACUUGACUCGAGAGACUGCAACCUGUGCUCCACAUUCGGUAGGGGAGCCGAAUACACCCCAGAGACCGCUUUAAAUAAAUUUCAAUUCGAUAAAGAAGGGGGUUCCAUCAAGAAUAAAAGCAGCACAAGAUGUCGACAUUCAAUAUGACCGAUUAUGGUAACAAUCCAUGCAAGAAUUCGCAUCGAUUCUAGAGCGAAGAAUCCUGUUGAUUCGUCAAGGUACCUCGGCAGCUGGUCAAAGAGCGUUGCGGAUCCUCUCUAUAGAUCCUAUAUAAAUCGUACGGGUCUGCCUUUCUACGAGGAAACACGUGCCAGCCACAUGUUGCACAAAAGGAAUCCUCAGUGGUCCUUUCGAGUAUCGUAGCGUAAGUCGCAGUCACAAAGGAGCUUUAGAAGCCCAUAAAUGAUUCUUUUCCCGUCGCGGAGAUCGAAGGGCAGCAGAUGUUUUGUCGCCCUCUUCGAAGACCAGGAUGAUACAGUGCAAGAAAAAACUGAGAAUUUAUGAUUUCACCUUUGAUGCUUUCUUUGAAGCUAUUGCAAGUGCUUUUAUCAUUUUAAUCUUUGCAUUUUUAUGUUAAAUAUGGUCAAGAGGAAUUUUAGAAAAGCUCAGAAUGUCUGAAUGUUUACAUCUCACAAUAAAAUCAGAUAUAAUCAAGAGGAAUUUUAGAAACAUCUAGAACAUCUGAAUGUUUGCAUCUCACAAUAUUGCAAGUGGUUUUAUCAUUGUAAUCACUCUCUUUGCAUUUUGAUAUCAAAUAUAAUUAAGAGGAAUUUUAAAAACGUUCAUAACUUCUGAAUGUUUGCAUUACAAUUUGGAAAGCUGAAGAGUAUUUAAAAAAUUAAUAAUUUAAAAGUAAGAUGUAUUUACAAGCUACACGUAUAGACAUUAAAAAAACAAACUGAAUCAUAGUCAAGAGGAAUUUUAAAAACAUCAAUAACAUCUGAAUACUUGUAUCUCACAAUUUUGAAAGUUGAAGAGUAUUUAAAAAGUUAAAAAUUUAUACUUGAGAAUAUUUAAAAAGAAGUUAAUUUCGUGCAGGGGCUGGCUGCGGUUGCAUCUAAUCGCAUAGGCUACGAUAAAGGAAUGGGAAGAUUUUUGAACACGUGGUUGCGACCAUCUGUUAGCAUCCGUUUAACCCAACCUAAACCUCGUCCUCUUUUCUGCUUUCUUUCUUCUGAUAUUAAGGACCAAGGUUAACGCUGCAGAAUAUAAAUAAACGCUAAGCAUUUUCCCAGGUGUUCCGAGCAGGUAAAGCAUUCCUACUGAAGCAACUCUACCUGACCCACCUGGCUUUCACGCUGCAUUUUCGGCCGGACAACAGUUUCUCUCCAUAUAUAUAUAUAUAAAGGGAACUAGCUACCUAAAAUGUAUAAUAUCUAGAUAUGGACUGAAAAAUGUAUCCUGCAGAAAGUUUAACCUAAGCUAUAGUUUAUCUAUGCCCCCAAUCUCAACUGGGAAUCUCAAUAUCCACGAUUCUCGGCUUUUGAACACAUCGAAGAUGUCUCGAAGCUCUAAAACCGUGCUUAUCCCACUGGUCGGUGAAUUACGUUCAAAGAAAAUCCGAAGGAACGCGUCAUACAAGCCACCAUUGAAAAACGGGGCUUGAAAGCGACAGCUUAAAAACCCAAUAUCGAGGGUUCUCGUGAGGCUUAGAUAUUGCGUAUCAACUGGAAAUCUUUCUCUGUGGCUUUCUUCGGUUUCCUCACAUGUCCUCUGCUAAUUUUUUAUUGUUUCAAAAUCAUAAUUAUUUUAUUUACUUCAAAGUUGAAGAAACUACAUAAUUUUAUUUAUAAGAUAGUUAAAAAGACAAUUGUUUAACAUUAUAUUUUAUAAAUUGAAGUUAUUAUAAAUUGUAUAAAUUAUAAUUAAUUAUUUCAGAAUUUUAAAUUGAAUGUUGGAAGCAUGUCAGGAUUUUAAAAAGCACAGAAGAAAGCAAGAUACCUGUUCAUAAAUAGUUAAGCACAGUAACAAUGGUUUAACGUUAAAUUAUUUUAUGAAUUAAAGUUGUCACAAUUGUGUAAAUCAAAAUUAUAAAUUGAAUUUAUUUUAAAAUUCAUGUUGGAAGCAUGUGAGGAUUUUAAAAAGCACAGAAGAAAGAUAUAAAGCUGUAUGAACAAUAUAACCUAUGUAAAGAAACAAAAUGGCGACCACAAAGAGUGGAGGAUGACCAUAGGACAGGAAACGUGUGGCGAGACUGUUUCUUCGCUGGAAUAUCCGGUUCGCCACGCGUACUGCGUGUGUCUUGCUUGACGUCACACCACACACCUGCUUCCUUACAGCUGUUCCCUUCGUGGUGGCAAACUCCCUCAAAUAGCUUUGUACUCCCUCGUUAAUAUUCUUUAAAGAAUCCCAGAAAAGAUUGAAGAACUGAUGUUCCAUGGGAACAGAAGGAAGUAUCGCAUUGGGAACACACGGCCACCCCUCGACGCAAGGAUACGUGUUUUACAAACACCGCUGACCCACCUCGCAACAGAUGCAAGAAUAUACGCGCGCUCUCUCUAUGUCCGUCUUUUUUUGCUCCUCUUUUUUCUACUUCUGGGGCGCACACGCUGUCGUCCCCAGAGACGUUCAGGGAUGACGAACUCAGCCGGUUAACUAGAGUAUUGUUCGAUUAUUAUUUCGGUACAUAUCGCGCACUUGUUAUCUCUUUAUGCGGUCAUAUGGUGGUAACAAGGGUGCUUUCUAUAUGACGGAUCUGAGAAACCUUUGUUUAUCAUACUAAGUUAGGAGAUAAGUAACACCAGGAUUAGAUUAACUCAAGUAUGUUAGGUUAACCCUUUGUCUCAAUUUUACAGAUUUAAUUUACAAAGUAGAUAACAAAAUUUUUGAACAAAACGUAUUACAGGGAGAAAUAUUCUAGUAAUCUUUUUAUCUAAAUUAUUUAGAUCCAAGAGAAGUAUGUGUAAGCCAAGCCACAUGAUUUAUAAUUUAUUAAUACUUGAAUUCUAAUUAUCUGAAUUAUUUAUGAGAUCCAAGAAAGAUACGUAUAAGUCAAGCCACAUAGUGCAAAGGGUUAAUCCUGUUAGUUCAUAAUGAAGUAUACUAGGUUUUACAAUUUGUUCAUACUUGAUUUGUUACAAUUUGUUCCACUACGCUUUGCUUAAAUUUCAAGCAGAAUCUUUGAUCUUAAAUUUCUAUCUAUUAAUUGUAUUUGUUAAUAGUUUAAGUUCACUUCAUUUGCUCUCAUUUUAUACUAAAAAAAAGGUCCUUCAAAAAGUUUGUAAAAGUAUAAAAACCUUAACAGAGACAUGAAGUGUAUUUAUAACUGUAGGGGCUAACUGUAGGGGUGUUUCUGCAUCUCUGAGGUGGGGAGCAUUUAUGAGGGUAUCUAACGCGUUCCAGGGGUGUUCUGAUCUCUGCAACAAAGACUAGGGUUCUGCAACCUGUGUGGAACCUGCGUCACCUUACAGAGGUUAAUUCGCAAGCGAGUUAGAGGAAGCGUCUGCCCGUCGAGGAGAAAGGGAGGACAAUGAUCCUCGGAAACGAAGCAAGGAACAUCUGCUCCAGUCCGGAUCACAGCGUGUCCUCCUUCAAUGAGGCGAUCGGCGUCGUGAAACUUGUCCCACCUCGGCCGUGCAUAGAUCUUAACGGAAGGCACGUGCAGCGCCGUGGGCCAAAGAUUCCAGCAGCCAUCGUCCCGGAAAUUCGCUGCUCCCCGAAUUACAGGGCAGCGGGCUUUUUAAAUUAAUAAUAUAGACGCGCCGAUGAAAAUAUAAUAACGAGGCGCGUACGUAGUGCUCGUAGCCCGCAGUUAUAUACAACGUGAGCGAAGAUAAAAGAUUCCUCGAAAUAAGGCCGAGCAAUAACUUGGAAUCGAAGCUGCUUUACGUUUCGCAUGGGAUUGCUCGUAAAACUUUGGAUUCUCUUAAAAAGAGACGACGUAACGUGUAGACCGAAGGUAUACUUUAUUUCGUUUACGAGAGCUACGCCUCUCAUGCAUUUAUAUGUUUAUGUUUCUAGCACUGCUGUGCUGCUUUGAAACGCAUUAUGAAGCCAAAUUGUUAUGAGAAGACGUGUAAUGAUUUAUAAUAAUAAAACACACUGACAGUUAUGUCAAGAAGCUUUAUGGGUGAAGAAAGUUUUAUGGGGCCUACAGAACCUUUCAUAUCAAGCAGCUGCUCUCUUGGGGCUAUAUCUUCAAACGUUUUGUACAAAGGGAUUUUGUUAAUUAUUUUUUAGGAAAAUCACUUACCCGUACAGCAUCGCUGCGCCGGCUAUGCCGCCUCCGCAUUGUGCAGCUAUGUAAAGUGCAGCUCGAAGGAAAGAGAUCCGUCGACACAAAGCGAAAGACACAGAGACAGCUGGAUUCACGUGGCCACCUGCGACAGAAAUAUUUGAUCGUUUUAUCGCAUAAAGCUACAACGCUUUUUAAUCGCGUUCUAGAUGCACAGUUGCUCUUUGUUCUUUUGGUGAUAUUCUUUUCAAAACUGUUGGACUGUUUUAAAUAUAGGAAAGAGGGAAGAGUCACUAAAUCUGUCACUUAAAACCUGGUAAAAAAAUCCAAGAAUUUUGAUGGAGAAUAUUUAAAAUACCCCAGUAAAAUUUCAAGAAGAUUAAAGCACUGUCUGGUUGCAGUUGAAGUACAUUCUUGAUAUACUUUGUAGUAGAGCAAACACCGAGGCAGACGCGUGCUCCACUCAUUUAUUAAACGCGUUCUCGAGGAUAGCAGAAUAAAUGCGAUCGUGUUUCUGCUUAGACGGCAACGAGAUAUUAAGAGGAACAUGAAUUCAAGCGUGUGAGUGAAAUACAUGGCCACAUUGUACGCACGUCCACGAAUAUAACCAAUAACAUAAGAGCUUGGAGCAAAUAACUAUGAUCUCCUGUGGUUCUAAUAUAUAUUUUAAGCUCAAACCUCAUAGCUUCCCAAGAAGACAACACGUGCGAAUUUAUUGAUCUGUAAGAGAGAUCCUUACCACUAACGUGUCCGAAGAUCAAGCAGAUCGCGGCGAUGGCAAAGCCAGAUGCGACGGCGAUGGCCAAAACAGAGAGACCGCUGCCGGAAACCG
This 5480-nucleotide long non-coding RNA is filed under the name Megachile rotundata (alfalfa leafcutting bee). RNAcentral describes it as "uncharacterized LOC105661830, transcript variant X13". Lineage: Eukaryota; Metazoa; Arthropoda; Insecta; Hymenoptera; Megachilidae. The record is from RNAcentral.